CUACCAGUGUCGUGAGGCAUUGGGAUGGGACGGCAGAAGUCAGCAGAAGUCGUAGUAGGUUUGUCACCGCAAACUGAAGGAC
This is a non-coding RNA of Candidatus Entotheonella sp., 82 nucleotides long. NCBI's taxonomy places the organism in Bacteria, Pseudomonadati, Candidatus Tectimicrobiota, Candidatus Entotheonellia, Candidatus Entotheonellales, Candidatus Entotheonellaceae. The record is from Rfam.